UACAGAGGGGGCAAGCGUUAUUCGGAAUUAUUGGGCGUAAAGGGCGCGUAGGCGGCUUUUCAAGUGACGGGUGAAAUCCCUCGGCUUAACCGAGGAACUGCCUCCCAAACUGCUUGGCUUGAGACCGGGAGAGGUGAGUGGAAUUCCCAGUGUAGCGGUGAAAUGCGUAGAUAUUGGGAGGAACACCAGUGGCGAAGGCGGCUCACUGGACCGGUACUGACGCUGAUGCGCGAAAGCGUGGGGAGCAAACGGG
This 253-nucleotide ribosomal RNA is filed under the name uncultured bacterium. RNAcentral's name for it is "partial 16S ribosomal RNA". It matches the Rfam family "Bacterial small subunit ribosomal RNA", at positions 524 to 776 of the family's 1533-position model. The record is from RNAcentral.